UUUUCUUUUUCUGUUUGUGAGCAAAGGUUCCCCCUCGGGCAGAAGAAAUCACCAUUCCAGCUGAUGUCACCCCUGAGAGAGUCCCAACACACAUUGUGGAUUACUCAGAAGCCGAACAGAGUGAUGAGCAACUUCAUCAAGAAAUAUCACAGGCUAAUGUCAUCUGCAUAGUUUAUGCUGUUAAUAAUAAACAUUCUAUUGAUAAGGUAACAAGUCGAUGGAUUCCUCUUAUAAAUGAAAGAACAGACAAAGACAGCAGG
This is a long non-coding RNA of Chinchilla lanigera (long-tailed chinchilla), 260 nucleotides long. RefSeq lists it as uncharacterized. The transcript has 4 exons. Lineage: Eukaryota; Metazoa; Chordata; Mammalia; Rodentia; Chinchillidae. The record is from RefSeq and is a predicted model, not a curated record.